RNAcentral lists this ribosomal RNA (253 nucleotides) under uncultured bacterium. RNAcentral's name for it is "partial 16S ribosomal RNA". It matches the Rfam family "Bacterial small subunit ribosomal RNA", at positions 524 to 776 of the family's 1533-position model. The record is from RNAcentral.
UACGUAGGUGGCAAGCGUUGUCCGGAUUUAUUGGGUUUAAAGGGUGCGUAGGCGGCCAUGUAAGUCAGUGCUGAAAUAUCCCGGCUUAACCGGGAGGGUGGCAUUGAUACUGCGUGGCUAGAGUACAGAUGAGGUAGGCGGAAUUGACGGUGUAGCGGUGAAAUGCUUAGAUAUCGUCAAGAACACCUAUAGCGAAGGCAGCUUACUAAGCUUUAACUGACACUGAGGCACGAAAGUGUGGGGAUCAAACAGG